GCUCCCUUAGCUCAGUUGGUAGAGAGCAUCCGGCUCAUAACCGGGAGGUCGCUGGUUCAAGCCCAGCAGGGAGCA
This 75-nucleotide transfer RNA is filed under the name Parabacteroides distasonis. RNAcentral's name for it is "tRNA-Ile". It matches the Rfam family "tRNA". Rfam says of the family: Transfer RNA (tRNA) molecules are approximately 80 nucleotides in length. Their secondary structure includes four short double-helical elements and three loops (D, anti-codon, and T loops). The record is from RNAcentral. RNAcentral also lists the same sequence under 1 other name. Lineage: Bacteria; Pseudomonadati; Bacteroidota; Bacteroidia; Bacteroidales; Tannerellaceae.